Molecule: long non-coding RNA, 369 nt
Organism: Homarus americanus (American lobster)
Lineage: Eukaryota; Metazoa; Arthropoda; Malacostraca; Decapoda; Nephropidae
Exons: 3
Source: RefSeq, a predicted model, not a curated record
GUGGUGCAACAAAAUUUAUCCAGAUGAAGCCAGUUACAACUAGCUGACACACGCACAACACUUGGCCAUCCUGGACUCCCCCAACAUGAACCAUCACCCAGGGAAGAGCCCACUCGGGCACAGGUCAUCGACCCACAAUAGGGCCUAGACCUGUGCCCAUCCCCUGAUCUCUGCUGGAUUUGCAGUGGUGAGAGAGAGAUCCCAUUCUGGUUUUACCCAACAGAUGCUAUCAGGCAAGAUUAAGAACUCAUGGAAUUCCUUAAAGCCUAUGCUCUGAAAAAUGCCUCUGGUGUAGUCAGGAGGUUCCCCAUCCUUCAGACGUUUGGUGUUGUAAGAGGAGUGGAAACCCUUCAGCUCCUGGAGAAGCCC